This 993-nucleotide ribosomal RNA is filed under the name Scaphidium sp. F-RO-2015. RNAcentral's name for it is "partial 28S ribosomal RNA". The record is from RNAcentral. Lineage: Eukaryota; Metazoa; Arthropoda; Insecta; Coleoptera; Staphylinidae.
CAUGUAAGCUCUGGGUGCGCCUCAGCUCGCAAUGAGCGACGAGACGCCCCGGGAGUGCGGGGUAUGUGCCGUACGGCACCGCCCAUCCUCCCUCGGCCACUGCGCAGGGCACUGCUGCCUUCACUUUCAUUUCGCCUUUUGGUUUCGAUGGUCCAAAUGACUCGCUCACAUGCUAGACUCCUUGGUCCGUGUUUCAAGACGGGUCCUGAAAGUACCCAAAGCUAUAGCGUCGCCGACAGGCGUGCAUCGGAGACUGUCCGAGAGCACCGCCGCCAGCAGCCGGGCGGGCCCGGUGUCGGCACACUAGGUCCGGCAGCCGGGUGAGAACCGUCCGCGCUUGCGACGGGUCGGACGCGAACUAGUCGCGGCCCCGCGCCUCUGUCGUUCCGUCGGGCAGGUCGGUCGGGCGUCACGGGUCCGCACGGCACACGCACAAGUGCGUUCCGUACGGGCUCCUCCGCGAGCCUCAAGCCAACACCCAACAGGUCGCGACGUUCUACUGGGGCAGAAGUGCACGCGUUCCGGACACCGGUGAACGUCGGACUGGCGCGUCGACCCGUAGGCCGACGUCGCAACAGCGAUCGAACGUCACGGCGGGAGACACGCUGAAUCUGCCCGUUCGAACUUUCGGGUUUCUCAGGUUUACCCCUGAACGGUUUCACGUACUAUUGAACUCUCUCUUCAAAGUUCUUUUCAACUUUCCCUCACGGUACUUGUUCGCUAUCGGUCUCGUGGUUAUAUUUAGCCUUAGAUGGAGUUUACCACCCACUUUGGGCUGCACUCUCAAGCAACCCGACUCUGAGGAGAGAUCCUCCCGCGAUCGGCGGCAGUCCCUACGGGCCUGGCACCCUCUAUGGGUAAGUGGCCCCGUUCAAGAAGGACUUGGACGCACUGCACGAUCUCGGGAUGGCGGACCCUCCCAAACACCACAUUUCCCUGCGUCCGGUGUCGGCCGCGGGAUUCGGUGCUGGGCUCUUCCCUGUUCGCUCGCCG